CCUGCGGAGGGAUCAUUACCGAGUUUACAACUCCCAAACCCCUGUGAACAUACCAAUUGUUGCCUCGGCGGAUCAGCCCGCUCCCGGUAAAACGGGACGGCCCGCCAGAGGACCCCUAAACUCUGUUUCUAUAUGUAACUUCUGAGUAAAACCAUAAAUAAAUCAAAACUUUCAACAACGGAUCUCUUGGUUCUGGCAUCGAUGAAGAACGCAGCAAAAUGCGAUAAGUAAUGUGAAUUGCAGAAUUCAGUGAAUCAUCGAAUCUUUGAACGCACAUUGCGCCCGCCAGUAUUCUGGCGGGCAUGCCUGUUCGAGCGUCAUUUCAACCCUCAAGCCCUCGGGUUUGGUGUUGGGGAUCGGCGAGCCCUUGCGGCAAGCCGGCCCCGAAAUCUAGUGGCGGUCUCGCUGCAGCUUCCAUUGCGUAGUAGUAAAACCCUCGCAACUGGUACGCGGCGCGGCCAAGCCGUUAAACCCCCAACUUCUGAAUGUUGACCUCGGAUCAGGUAGGAAUACCCGCUGAACUUAAGCAUAUCAAUAA
Molecule: ribosomal RNA, 538 nt
Filed under: Fusarium sp. E9716g
Lineage: Eukaryota; Fungi; Ascomycota; Sordariomycetes; Hypocreales; Nectriaceae
Description: eukaryotic LSU rRNA
Rfam family: 5.8S ribosomal RNA (bases 167-320)
Source: RNAcentral